GACGGUCCUAUGGGUUGUAAACUUCUUUUGCAGGGGAAUAAAGAUAUUCACGUGUGGGUAGUUGUAUGUACCCUGCGAAUAAGCAUCGGCUAACUCCGUGCCAGCAGCCGCGGUAAUACGGAGGAUGCGAGCGUUAUCCGGAUUUAUUGGGUUUAAAGGGUGCGUAGGUGGGCUAUUAAGUCAGUGGUGAAAGUUUGUCGCUCAACGAUAAAAUUGCCGUUGAAACUGGUGGUCUUGAGUAUGGAUGAAGUAGGCGGAAUGCGUGGUGUAGCGGUGAAAUGCAUAGAGAUCACGCAAAACUCCGAUUGCGAAGGCAGCUUACUAAGGCAUAACUGACACUGAAGCACGAAAGCGUGGGUAUCAAACAGGAUUAGAUACCCUGGUAGUCCACGCAGUAAACGAUGAUUACUAGGAGUUUGCGAUAUAGUGUAAGCUCUACAGCGAAAGCGUUAAGUAAUCCACCUGGGGAGUACGCCGGCAACGGUGAAACUCAAAGGAAUUGACGGGGGCCCGCACAAG
This 519-nucleotide ribosomal RNA is filed under the name uncultured bacterium. RNAcentral's name for it is "bacterial SSU rRNA". It matches the Rfam family "Bacterial small subunit ribosomal RNA", at positions 410 to 929 of the family's 1533-position model. The record is from RNAcentral.